Molecule: small nuclear RNA, 140 nt
Organism: Nannospalax galili (Upper Galilee mountains blind mole rat)
Lineage: Eukaryota; Metazoa; Chordata; Mammalia; Rodentia; Spalacidae
Gene: U4
Rfam family: U4 spliceosomal RNA
About the family: U4 small nuclear RNA (U4 snRNA) is a component of the major U2-dependent spliceosome. The structure of U4 snRNA from yeast and human has been reported. U4 snRNA presents a k-turn RNA motif in the 5p-SL related to recognition of Snu13 protein.
Source: Ensembl
AGCUUUGUACAGUGAUAGUAUCAUGGCCAAUGAGGAUUAGCUGAGGUGCAGUUCUUGCUAACUGAAAAUCCCUCCCAAUAUUCAGCAUGACAACAUGCAAUGCAGUCAGCAGCAGCAAUGUUUGACAGUCUCUAAGGAGA